GAAAAAUUGAAAAUUCCAUCAAAAUUCAUUAAACAUAUGGAAGGAGGGGAUUCUGGAACAACAGUUCUGGUGGGUCCCAGUGGAAAUGCUUGGCCUGUGGACUUAAUACAGCAAGAUGAUGGUUUAUUCUUCAAUAAUGGAUGGGUUUCAUUUGUUAAAGAUCACUGCCUUGAAACAGGGGAUUCUUUGGUUUUCAGAUAUGACGGUGAUUUGCAUUUCACUGUGCAAGUAUUUGACGAGAGUUCAUGUGAGAAGGAGGCUUCUUAUAACGCUGACUGCAGUCAAGGAGCAACUGACUUGUACAAUCUUGCUCU
This 314-nucleotide unclassified non-coding RNA is filed under the name Hevea brasiliensis (rubber tree). Lineage: Eukaryota; Viridiplantae; Streptophyta; Magnoliopsida; Malpighiales; Euphorbiaceae. The record is from RNAcentral.